CCAAUAGCGUAUAUUAAAGUUGUUGCAGUUAAAAAGCUCGUAGUUGAAUUUCGGGGUCAGUAGAUUGGUCGUGCCAAUGGUAUGUACUGGUCUUACUGGCUCCUCCUUCCCGAUGAACCGUAAUGCCAUUAAUUUGGUGUUUCGGGGAGACUGGACUGUUACUUUGAAAAAAUUAGAGGGUUUAAAGCAGGCUAGCGCUUGAAUACAUUAGCAUGGAAUAAUGAAAUAGGACGUUCGAUCUUAUUUUGUUGGUUUCUAAGAUUGACGUAAUGAUUAAUAGGGAUAGUUGGGGGCAUUAGUAUUCAAUUGUCAGAGGUGAAAUUCUUGGAUUUAUUGAAGACUAACUACUGCGAAAGCAUUUGCCAAGGAUGUUUUCAUUAAUCAAGAACGAAAGUUAGGGGAUCGAAGACGAUCAGAUACCGUCGUAGUCUUAACCAUAAACUAUGCCGACUAGGGAUCGGAUGAUGUUAAUUUUUUAAUGACUCAUUCGGCGCCUUACG
Molecule: ribosomal RNA, 500 nt
Filed under: uncultured Glomeromycotina
Lineage: Eukaryota; Fungi; Glomeromycota
Description: partial small subunit ribosomal RNA
Rfam family: Eukaryotic small subunit ribosomal RNA
Source: RNAcentral